Molecule: long non-coding RNA, 304 nt
Organism: Physella acuta
Lineage: Eukaryota; Metazoa; Mollusca; Gastropoda; Physidae
Source: RefSeq, a predicted model, not a curated record
CCUAACAGGGCUGCCGAACACCACCAUGGACUAUAGAAGUUUGCUGGUUGCUGUUUUACUGCUGUCUCAGCAUAUCUUCACUGCACAGACAGACAACUAUACGGAGAACAGAUAUACAAGAGCCAUAAGGACAGGGCGCUGUAGUUCCAGGCACUAUUGUAGAACUGAACACGGAUCGAACAAACAUCCAACCUGUGAAAAAAAGUAUCUGACACCUUGUAUGAAGAGAGAGGAACUAUUCAAAUCAUUCGGAGGAAAACUUGUUUUAUGUGACACAGUAACUGAUGGCGGAGCGUGGAUCAUU